Molecule: ribosomal RNA, 405 nt
Filed under: uncultured bacterium
Lineage: Bacteria
Description: bacterial SSU rRNA
Rfam family: Bacterial small subunit ribosomal RNA
Source: RNAcentral
GAUGAACGCUAGCGGCAGGCCUAACACAUGCAAGUCGAGGGGUAGAGGAAGCUUGCUUCCUUGAGACCGGCGCACGGGUGCGUAACGCGUAUACAAUCUACCUUUUACAGAGGGAUAGCCCAGAGAAAUUUGGAUUAAUACCUCAUAGUAUUUUCGGAUCGCAUGAUUUGAUUAUUAAAGUUCCAACGGUAAAGAUGAGUAUGCGUCCCAUUAGCUAGAUGGUAAGGUAACGGCUUACCAUGGCUACGAUGGGUAGGGGUCCUAGAGAGGGAGAUCCCCCACACUGGUACUGAGACACGGACCAGACUCCUACGGGAGGCAGCAGUGAGGAAUAUUGGACAAUGGGCGCAAGCCUGAUCCAGCCAUGCCGCGUGCAGGAUGACGGUCCUAUGGAUUGUAAACUGC